Molecule: non-coding RNA, 2438 nt
Organism: Myodes glareolus (Bank vole)
Lineage: Eukaryota; Metazoa; Chordata; Mammalia; Rodentia; Cricetidae
Source: RefSeq, a predicted model, not a curated record
UUCGCCCCCUUUUCCCGUGUGUUAAACACUGACCUCUGUACUUCUGGAGUGUGUUCCCUGCCUGUAGAGAGCAUUUGAGGCUCUUGCAUUGGGAGAGAGGAAGGGAAGGGCCUUGCUGUACUCCGCCACCCUCCCCCCCUCAUCCCCGGGAGCUCCAGCCCCCGCACCCAUUUGUUAAUAGAAGUACUUUGUUGUGGCUUGUUUAUUUGAAGGCUUCUACCUGUUGGUGGAGAUGUUAGCGAACAGUGGAACAUUGAUGAAAUCCUCCCCAGCUGGCUAGGAGCGGAAGGGUAUUUUAAGGGAGCUCGGUCCUGGAAUGUAGCAGAGUCGGUGGUUGGAGAGGCCAUGAGCCAGCCGGAGCCCUCAGCAUCUGUUUGGCACCCAGUGACCUGGCUAUGAAUGCAGCGACAGGAGGCUUCAGCCCUGCCAGCAGGCUCUGCGAACGACUGGAGAGGCUUCCGGAGAUCAGCGGUGUAGGCUGAAAAUGAGAUCCAGCUUUUGAAACCUUGGUGGGUUCAUCCCUAGGAAGGCAGGGAGGCCCGUGAAAGGGACGCACACAGUGACUUUGUGAGGUUCUCCCCAGAGCUAUAUGUGUCUGUGGUAGCUCAACCUGGCUGACCUUUAUACCGGGGGCAUCAUAGCAUGCCACCCCCUUCAGAAUCGGGAAGCUGAAUUAGAGAGUGUGGGUGUAGUUAUCGGCACUGGCUCUGGGGGACUUGGGAGCAACCUCCACGUGGGCUGCUUGUGAGAGACCAUUGCUGGCACUGGUACUACUGAGGCUACUGAGUUCUACCCACGUUGGUCCCACACCAGGACCAGAGAGCUGCUGGUAUCAGGCCAUCUGAGUCAUCCAAGUCACUGACAUUGCCUUCUGUGCCUCCGUGUUUUCAUCUGCAAAAUAGGGGCAGUGACUCAGACUCUGUGUAAGAACUAGACGAGAGGAGGGGUCAGGGCGGGGUCCAAGUGGUAUCAGUGCAGGGUCCUUAAGAUGAGCAAAACAGGCCACACAUUCCAGUUGCUACUGCCCAUGCAUUCAUGCACCCUCUCUCGAUACUGUCUCUGUUUGAUUUCCCAUUCAGGUGCCACCCCAGCCUUGUAUCCCUAGACCUCCCGGGGUUACUGGCCCAUUCCUGUGCCAGGGAAAGUAGCCCAUGAGGAUGCUGUCUGUACCUCCAAGGGUGGGUGUGAUGGCAUUUUCAGUCUUCUGCCCUGGGCAGGGAGGAAACUUAGAUGGGGACGGUGGCCUCUGAUGGCUACUGUCCAGCAUGCAAACCAUAUAACCUGAUGGCUGUAUGCCAGAAGGGCUGGAGAGAGCAGCAUCCUGGGCCUGGCCUGGACUGAUUUAGACAUCCAGGAGACUAGGAACGCGAAGGAAAUGAAGGAAAUUUCCCCAGGGAAGGGAGAGACAAGAUAGAGGAGCUUAAGUGCCCAGAUAAUUACAAAGCAUGGCCUGAUGAUUUACUGCCAGGCGGACUGGCUCCUCUGACUGCCUCCACUGCCCGUCCUUCUGGGCCCCCCAUGCCCUAGAGACCAGUCGUGGAGAAGGGAAGGAAAGAGGCAGUGGGCACUGCCCAACACCCAGCCUCCACAUUGUCUCCCGGAGUUGAGCUCCAAGUUGGCUCUCACAGGAGGCACCGUGAAGGGGAGCAAGCUUCACUCAGUGCCGGGCUCAGACAUCUGGUAUCUGGGUGGCCUCAGAGAACUCCGACCUGACCCAGCCCCUUUCUACAGACCGAGGGAAAAGGGCUACGAGAUCAGACUCACAAACAGCAUCCUAGCCUGUACCUCUGUUCGCAGAUGCAGGGACCUGAGUGGGCAGCUAAAAAGGAGACCACUACCUAUCCCUUCCACCUGAACGAGGGCUCCCAUCUGUUCCCAGUUGAAGGCCAGUGUCCUUAGCGGAACACGUACUGCUGCGGUUUGUUCUGAGACAGGGUGUCACAGUGUAGCUCUAGCUAGCCUGGAAUUUGUUGACUUCACAGAGACCCACCUGCUUCUGCUCCUGGAGUACUGGGAUUAAAGGUGUGUGCCACCAUGCCCAAGUCUUGGCGGAACUCACGACUAGCCUUGUGUCUCCACAACCCUCUUUCAUUUUAUUAGGAUCCUGUGUCACCACCUCGAAGCCCUCCGAGCCCUGUACUCAACACCCAUACUAUGGACUUACAACCCUGGUGGUCCUUUCACCCCGGUGUCUACACUGGGAGAUCCUGGGGCAGGGUGGCUAUAACCACUCAUGGUCUUACAGUCUGGAUUAGGUGUGUUUGGGGGGAACAUUCCAAGAGUGAAGGAAGUGGACGGAAGUCCCCCAUGCCUCCAGGUACGGCACCUGACUGGGGCCUCUCUCAGGGACUUUUUUCCAGUGCCGUGAAACAGUGUUCUCUAGGGAUGAUCCACACGUGUGGAACUACAGCUCAAUAAAGGUGGUUUCCUAACUCUCA